Long non-coding RNA from Drosophila eugracilis, 226 nucleotides. RefSeq lists it as uncharacterized. The record is from RefSeq and is a predicted model, not a curated record. The transcript has 2 exons. NCBI's taxonomy places the organism in Eukaryota, Metazoa, Arthropoda, Insecta, Diptera, Drosophilidae.
ACCGGAUCAAAUAUGUUUUGGGAUCUGCUCGGUGGAAUUUUUGAGUUCAUUUUCGGACUUUUAUUUCCCAGUUCUGGGAGCGGAGACGAGCCAGAUUCUGAGGAGGUGGAAACCACAUAAAGAACAAAAAAAUAAUUUUUAUACGUGUUUUUAAUUGUAAAAGUUCCAUGUUUUCGCUUUAUUAUGUCUACGUGUGUUUAUAUUUAACAUAAAUUGCUUCAACAGC